RNAcentral lists this ribosomal RNA (698 nucleotides) under Golovinomyces cichoracearum. RNAcentral describes it as "eukaryotic LSU rRNA". It matches the Rfam family "Eukaryotic large subunit ribosomal RNA", at positions 82 to 795 of the family's 3401-position model. The record is from RNAcentral. Lineage: Eukaryota; Fungi; Ascomycota; Leotiomycetes; Helotiales; Erysiphaceae.
AGUAACGGCGAGUGAAGCGGUAACAGCUCAAAUUUGAAAUCUGGCUCCUGCGGAGUCCGAGUUGUAAUUUGUAGAAGAUGCUUUGGGAGGGAGGCUCGGCCUAAGUUCCUUGGAACAGGACAUCAGAGAGGGUGAGAAUCCCGUAUGUGGCCGUGGCCUCCGCCCGUGUAAAGCUCUUUCGACGAGUCGAGUUGUUUGGGAAUGCAGCUCAAAAUGGGUGGUAAAUUUCAUCUAAAGCUAAAUAUUGGCCAGAGACCGAUAGCGCACAAGUAGAGUGAUCGAAAGAUGAAAAGCACUUUGGAAAGAGAGUUAAACAGUACGUGAAAUUGUUGAAAGGGAAGCGCUUGCACCCAGACUUGGGCGUCGUCGAUCAUCCGAGGUUCUCCUCGGUGCACUCGGCGAGGCACAGGCCAGCAUCGGUUUGGAUGGUUGGAGAAAGGCUCUAGGAACGUAGCUCUCUUCGGGGAGUGUUAUAGGCUAGGGCGUAAUGCAGCCCAUCGGGACCGAGGACCGCGCCUUCGGGCUAGGAUGCUGGCGUAAUGGUUGCAAGCGACCCGUCUUGAAACACGGACCAAGGAGUCUAACAUCUAUGCGAGUGUUUGGGCGUUAAACCCAUACGCGGAAUGAAAGUGAACGUAGGUGAGAACCCAUCUGGGUGCAUCAUCGACCGAUCCUGAUGUCUUCGGAUGGAUUUGAGU